CAGUAACGGCGAGUGAAGCGGCAAGAGCUCAAAUUUGAAAGCUGGCUCCUUCGGAGUCCGCAUUGUAAUUUGCAGAGGAUGCUUUGGGUGCGGCCCCCGUCUAAGUGCCCUGGAACGGGCCGUCAGAGAGGGUGAGAAUCCCGUCUUGGGCGGGGUGUCCGUGCCCGUGUAAAGCUCCUUCGACGAGUCGAGUUGUUUGGGAAUGCAGCUCUAAAUGGGUGGUAAAUUUCAUCUAAAGCUAAAUACUGGCCGGAGACCGAUAGCGCACAAGUAGAGUGAUCGAAAGAUGAAAAGCACUUUGAAAAGAGAGUUAAACAGCACGUGAAAUUGUUGAAAGGGAAGCGCUUGCGACCAGACUCGCCCGCGGGGUUCAGCCGGCAUUCGUGCCGGUGUACUUCCCCGUGGGCGGGCCAGCGUCGGUUUGGGCGGCCGGUCAAAGGCCCCUGGAAUGUAGUACCCUCCGGGGUACCUUAUAGCCAGGGGUGCAAUGCGGCCAGCCUGGACCGAGGAACGCGCUUCGGCACGGACGCUGGCAUAAUGGUCGUAAACGACCCGUCUUGAAACACGGACCA
RNAcentral lists this ribosomal RNA (572 nucleotides) under Aspergillus niger. Its description in RNAcentral is "eukaryotic LSU rRNA". It matches the Rfam family "Eukaryotic large subunit ribosomal RNA", at positions 81 to 668 of the family's 3401-position model. Lineage: Eukaryota; Fungi; Ascomycota; Eurotiomycetes; Eurotiales; Aspergillaceae. The record is from RNAcentral.